Non-coding RNA from Callithrix jacchus (white-tufted-ear marmoset), 1897 nucleotides. The record is from RefSeq and is a predicted model, not a curated record. NCBI's taxonomy places the organism in Eukaryota, Metazoa, Chordata, Mammalia, Primates, Cebidae.
UUUUUGUUUGUUUGUUUGUUUUGAGACGGAGUUUUGCUCUUGUUACCCAGGCUGGAGUGCAAUGGCACGAUCUCGGCCCACUGCAACCUCCGCCUCCUGGGUUCAGGUAAUCCUCCUGCCUCAGCCUCCUGAGUAGCUGAGAUUACAGGCACGCGCCACCAUGCCAAGCUAAUUUUUUGUAUUUUUAGUAGAGACGGGGUUUCACCAUGUUGACCAGGAUAGUCUCCAUCUCUUGACCUUGUGAUCCACCUGCCUCAGCCUCCCAGUGAUCCACCCGCCUCAGCCUCCCAAUUAAGUUUUUAAAAUUUUUUUUUGACAUGAAAAGACUGCUUCAAAACUACUAGCCAUGAACUGUUUUUCCAUGUUCUUUCAUCAAACACGACUUCCUUUUAAUACAAAAUUAAAGGUGAUUCAAGCCAUCACCUCUACUAUCUAAAGAGAUCCGUGAAAGAGAGAAUGAAAUUAUAUUUUUGGGGAAGGCAACAUUUUGUUUAUUUGGGGUGCAAAGUUAGCAUUCCCUAGCAUCAAAAUCGAUUGCAAAUGUUAAUCUGUUAGUGCCGAUCUGUAAUGAAAUUUUACAUAUUUCAUCUUUGAAAAUGUCUCUUCACACAAAGAGGUACUGCCAAACAUUUAUAUAAAACCACAAAUAUUUGAUUUUGGUGGAACAUGUUUAUUGUUUGAUAAAGAUUCAGAGAAUGCUAUUAGAUUUUACACUUGAUAUUUGCCUGUUAAGAUCUCAUUACAUUGCAGAAUAAUCACUUUCAAUAGAAGGUUAUAUAAAAGCUCUUCAAAGGCAGCUAAAUGGAUUUUGAAAUGUGGAAAUCACCUUUGCUUUUGUAUCAAAGUCUGAAACAUACCACUGGAACAGAACUGGAACUGUGGCUUGAGAUUGGAAAAUAUUUCUGCUUCAAAUGUGUGUGGGAAGGGUUAUCUUUCUUCUUGUAACUUUUGACAGGAUGAGCAGUGUAUAAAGCUGCUGAUGCUGCUUGUGAUUCAAAUGUUAGUUGUCAUCAAAAUGAGUUUACCACAGGAAAAGUUUCACAUAUAAAUUUUUUUUGCCUUGUAAUCUUAGGUUGAAUUCCUUAAGAAAUAGUAUCAAGCAAUUCCAUAGUCACUCAGUGUUUGAUAAAAAUGGAGGAAUAAAUUUUUCUCAUUCAGAAAACUUUGUCUUCAACCUGAGCUCAGCAACAGUAAUAAAACCUGACUGUUGUGGAGCCCUGGGGCUGCUGUGUGGAGGGCAAGUCAGGACAUGCAGCUUCUAUUUCUAACAAAACUUUAAGGAUAAAGUUAAAUAUACCAGAGUGAAUAAAGUCCAUCAGUGAUGCUGGUGGUUUAAUGACACGUGAUAGAUUCAAGUAUUUUCUACAAAGUAUCUACUGAUAAAUAAUAUAAUACAUAAGUUUUAAAUACUUUACAUUUUCACAAGCAUUGUAAACUUGUUUAAGCUUUUUUCUCCUCAUAUUUUCUUAAUAUGUUUACCACCUGCAGUUGUUAUACAUCUUAGCGGAUUCCACUUCAGAUUGUACUGAAUCUUUGUCUUCCCACAUCGCUUCAGAAUAUUAUUGUGUGCAAUUGUUCGAGGCAGACAAUUCAUAGAGACUAAUUUUCAGUCACUUUACACUAUUCACUCUUAAACAACAACUAAUUAAUAAAAUUUGUUGAGUCAUAGAGUCAAAAAUAAAUAAAUUAAAAAUAAUUUGCCGUCAACACUGAACAUCUCUUCUAGCCACAAACCUGACAGUCCCUUAUGAGCUGAAUUAGCUCUGAUGUAUUUUUUUUGGCUGCUGCAAUCAACCAUGAUUUAAUCAACACACAAUUGGUAAAUGGCUUGUAGCUUGAUUUUUUUUUUUUUUUUUAAUACUGUGUGCUGAGAUGUUCUGUUUUAAUUGUUUUUUUU